GGGAGCAGCCCUUUGGUGCACAGCCGCCGUUCUCAGGGUCCGGCAUGAGUACAGGCUCCG
This 60-nucleotide non-coding RNA is filed under the name Symbiodinium sp. CCMP2430. The record is from RNAcentral. Lineage: Eukaryota; Dinophyceae; Suessiales; Symbiodiniaceae.